This 253-nucleotide ribosomal RNA is filed under the name uncultured bacterium. RNAcentral's name for it is "partial 16S ribosomal RNA". It matches the Rfam family "Bacterial small subunit ribosomal RNA", at positions 524 to 776 of the family's 1533-position model. The record is from RNAcentral.
AGCGUAGGUGGCGAACGUUAUCCGGAAUUAUUGGGCGUAAAGGGUGCGUAGAUGGCCUGAUAAGUUAACAGUGGUAAAUCGAGGCUCAACCUCGUGGAAACUGAUAAUACUGUCUGGCUCGAGUACAGAAGAGGUUAACGGAAUUCCAUGUGGAGCGGUAAAAUGCAUAGAGAUCGGAAAGAACACCAACGGCGAAAGCACUCUGCUGGGCCGACACUGACACUGAGAGACGAAAGCUAGGGGAGCGAAUGGG